This 703-nucleotide ribosomal RNA is filed under the name Kocuria rhizophila. RNAcentral's name for it is "bacterial SSU rRNA". It matches the Rfam family "Bacterial small subunit ribosomal RNA", at positions 56 to 768 of the family's 1533-position model. Lineage: Bacteria; Bacillati; Actinomycetota; Actinomycetes; Micrococcales; Micrococcaceae. The record is from RNAcentral.
UGCAGUCGACGCUGAAGCUUGGUGCUUGCACUGGGUGGAUGAGUGGCGAACGGGUGAGUAAUACGUGAGUAACCUGCCCUUGACUCUGGGAUAAGCCUGGGAAACUGGGUCUAAUACUGGAUACGACAUGUCACCGCAUGGUGGUGUGUGGAAAGGGUUUUACUGGUUUUGGAUGGGCUCACGGCCUAUCAGCUUGUUGGUGGGGUAAUGGCUCACCAAGGCGACGACGGGUAGCCGGCCUGAGAGGGUGACCGGCCACACUGGGACUGAGACACGGCCCAGACUCCUACGGGAGGCAGCAGUGGGGAAUAUUGCACAAUGGGCGAAAGCCUGAUGCAGCGACGCCGCGUGAGGGAUGACGGCCUUCGGGUUGUAAACCUCUUUCAGCACGGAAGAAGCGAAAGUGACGGUACGUGCAGAAGAAGCGCCGGCUAACUACGUGCCAGCAGCCGCGGUAAUACGUAGGGCGCAAGCGUUGUCCGGAAUUAUUGGGCGUAAAGAGCUCGUAGGCGGUUUGUCGCGUCUGCUGUGAAAGCCCGGGGCUUAACCCCGGGUGUGCAGUGGGUACGGGCAGACUUGAGUGCAGUAGGGGAGACUGGAAUUCCUGGUGUAGCGGUGAAAUGCGCAGAUAUCAGGAGGAACACCGAUGGCGAAGGCAGGUCUCUGGGCUGUUACUGACGCUGAGGAGCGAAAGCAUGGGGAG